Molecule: ribosomal RNA, 253 nt
Filed under: uncultured bacterium
Lineage: Bacteria
Description: partial 16S ribosomal RNA
Rfam family: Bacterial small subunit ribosomal RNA
Source: RNAcentral
UACGAAGGGGGCUAGCGUUGUUCGGAAUUACUGGGCGUAAAGGGUGCGUAGGUGGUCGUUUAAGUCCGUUGUGAAAUCCCUGGGCUCAACCUGGGAAUGGCAGUGGAUACUGGACGGCUAGAAUGCGGUAGAGGGUAGUGGAAUUCCCGGUGUAGCAGUGAAAUGCGUAGAGAUCGGGAGGAACACCAGUGGCGAAGGCGACUACCUGGACCAGCACUGACACUGAGGCACGAAAGCGUGGGGAGCAAACAGG